UUAAGCGACUAAGCGUACACGGUGGAUGCCCUGGCAGUCAGAGGCGAUGAAGGACGUGCUAAUCUGCGAUAAGCGUCGGUGAGGUGAUAUGAACCGUUAUAACCGGCGAUUUCCGAAUGGGGAAACCCAGUGUGUUUCGACACACUAUCAUUAACUGAAUCCAUAGGUUAAUGAGGCGAACCGGGGGAACUGAAACAUCUAAGUACCCCGAGGAAAAGAAAUCAACCGAGAUUCCCCCAGUAGCGGCGAGCGAACGGGGAGGAGCCCAGAGCCUGAAUCAGUGUGUGUGUUAGUGGAAGCGUCUGGAAAGGCGCGCGAUACAGGGUGACAGCCCCGUACACAAAAAUGCACAUGCUGUGAGCUCGAUGAGUAGGGCGGGACACGUGGUAUCCUGUCUGAAUAUGGGGGGACCAUCCUCCAAGGCUAAAUACUCCUGACUGACCGAUAGUGAACCAGUACCGUGAGGGAAAGGCGAAAAGAACCCCGGCGAGGGGAGUGAAAAAGAACCUGAAACCGUGUACGUACAAGCAGUGGGAGCCUCUUAAUGGGGUGACUGCGUACCUUUUGUAUAAUGGGUCAGCGACUUAUAUUCUGUAGCAAGGUUAACCGAAUAGGGGAGCCGAAGGGAAACCGAGUCUUAACUGGGCGUUAAGUUGCAGGGUAUAGACCCGAAACCCGGUGAUCUAGCCAUGGGCAGGUUGAAGGUUGGGUAACACUAACUGGAGGACCGAACCGACUAAUGUUGAAAAAUUAGCGGAUGACUUGUGGCUGGGGGUGAAAGGCCAAUCAAACCGGGAGAUAGCUGGUUCUCCCCGAAAGCUAUUUAGGUAGCGCCUCGUGAAUUCAUCUCCGGGGGUAGAGCACUGUUUCGGCAAGGGGGUCAUCCCGACUUACCAACCCGAUGCAAACUGCGAAUACCGGAGAAUGUUAUCACGGGAGACACACGGCGGGUGCUAACGUCCGUCGUGAAGAGGGAAACAACCCAGACCGCCAGCUAAGGUCCCAAAGUCAUGGUUAAGUGGGAAACGAUGUGGGAAGGCCCAGACAGCCAGGAUGUUGGCUUAGAAGCAGCCAUCAUUUAAAGAAAGCGUAAUAGCUCACUGGUCGAGUCGGCCUGCGCGGAAGAUGUAACGGGGCUAAACCAUGCACCGAAGCUGCGGCAGCGACGCUUAUGCGUUGUUGGGUAGGGGAGCGUUCUGUAAGCCUGUGAAGGUGGCCUGUGAGGGUUGCUGGAGGUAUCAGAAGUGCGAAUGCUGACAUAAGUAACGAUAAAGCGGGUGAAAAGCCCGCUCGCCGGAAGACCAAGGGUUCCUGUCCAACGUUAAUCGGGGCAGGGUGAGUCGACCCCUAAGGCGAGGCCGAAAGGCGUAGUCGAUGGGAAACAGGUUAAUAUUCCUGUACUUGGUGUUACUGCGAAGGGGGGACGGAGAAGGCUAUGUUGGCCGGGCGACGGUUGUCCCGGUUUAAGCGUGUAGGCUGGUUUUCCAGGCAAAUCCGGAAAACCAAGGCUGAGGCGUGAUGACGAGGCACUACGGUGCUGAAGCGACAAAUGCCCUGCUUCCAGGAAAAGCCUCUAAGCAUCAGGUAACAUCAAAUCGUACCCCAAACCGACACAGGUGGUCAGGUAGAGAAUACCAAGGCGCUUGAGAGAACUCGGGUGAAGGAACUAGGCAAAAUGGUGCCGUAACUUCGGGAGAAGGCACGCUGAUAUGUAGGUGAAGCGACUUGCUCGUGGAGCUGAAAUCAGUCGAAGAUACCAGCUGGCUGCAACUGUUUAUUAAAAACACAGCACUGUGCAAACACGAAAGUGGACGUAUACGGUGUGACGCCUGCCCGGUGCCGGAAGGUUAAAUGAUGGGGUUAGCGGCAACGCGAAGCUCUUGAUCGAAGCCCCGGUAAACGGCGGCCGUAACUAUAACGGUCCUAAGGUAGCGAAAUUCCUUGUCGGGUAAGUUCCGACCUGCACGAAUGGCGUAAUGAUGGCCAGGCUGUCUCCACCCGAGACUCAGUGAAAUUGAACUCGCUGUGAAGAUGCAGUGUACCCGCGGCAAGACGGAAAGACCCCGUGAACCUUUACUAUAGCUUGACACUGAACAUUGAGCCUUGAUGUGUAGGAUAGGUGGGAGGCUUUGAAGUGUGGACGCCAGUCUGCAUGGAGCCGACCUUGAAAUACCACCCUUUAAUGUUUGAUGUUCUAACGUUGGCCCGUAAUCCGGGUUGCGGACAGUGUCUGGUGGGUAGUUUGACUGGGGCGGUCUCCUCCUAAAGAGUAACGGAGGAGCACGAAGGUUGGCUAAUCCUGGUCGGACAUCAGGAGGUUAGUGCAAUGGCAUAAGCCAGCUUGACUGCGAGCGUGACGGCGCGAGCAGGUGCGAAAGCAGGUCAUAGUGAUCCGGUGGUUCUGAAUGGAAGGGCCAUCGCUCAACGGAUAAAAGGUACUCCGGGGAUAACAGGCUGAUACCGCCCAAGAGUUCAUAUCGACGGCGGUGUUUGGCACCUCGAUGUCGGCUCAUCACAUCCUGGGGCUGAAGUAGGUCCCAAGGGUAUGGCUGUUCGCCAUUUAAAGUGGUACGCGAGCUGGGUUUAGAACGUCGUGAGACAGUUCGGUCCCUAUCUGCCGUGGGCGCUGGAGAACUGAGGGGGGCUGCUCCUAGUACGAGAGGACCGGAGUGGACGCAUCACUGGUGUUCGGGUUGUCAUGCCAAUGGCACUGCCCGGUAGCUAAAUGCGGAAGAGAUAAGUGCUGAAAGCAUCUAAGCACGAAACUUGCCCCGAGAUGAGUUCUCCCUGAGACUUAGAGUCUCCUGAAGGAACGUUGAAGACGACGACGUUGAUAGGCCGGGUGUGUAAGCGCAGCGAUGCGUUGAGCUAACCGGUACUAAUGAACCGUGAGGCUUAACCUU
This 2903-nucleotide ribosomal RNA is filed under the name Escherichia coli. Its description in RNAcentral is "bacterial LSU rRNA". It matches the Rfam family "Bacterial large subunit ribosomal RNA". The record is from RNAcentral. Lineage: Bacteria; Pseudomonadati; Pseudomonadota; Gammaproteobacteria; Enterobacterales; Enterobacteriaceae.